GAGGGUAUAGCUCAGUGGUAGAGCGUUGUGCUCAGCAUGCAUGAGGUCAUGGGUUCGAUCCCCAGUACCUCCA
This 73-nucleotide transfer RNA is filed under the name Camelus bactrianus (Bactrian camel). It matches the Rfam family "tRNA". Rfam says of the family: Transfer RNA (tRNA) molecules are approximately 80 nucleotides in length. Lineage: Eukaryota; Metazoa; Chordata; Mammalia; Artiodactyla; Camelidae. RNAcentral also lists the same sequence under 2 other names. The record is from Rfam by way of RNAcentral.